Molecule: long non-coding RNA, 250 nt
Filed under: Olea europaea (common olive)
Lineage: Eukaryota; Viridiplantae; Streptophyta; Magnoliopsida; Lamiales; Oleaceae
Description: long non-coding RNA (OEUR_LNC009861)
Source: RNAcentral
CGAAUGGGUUAAUUUGAGUUAUGUUUGUCGACGUAUGAAUACUAAGAGGGAACUUUAUAUUUGCUUCUUGAUAAUAGGUCACAAUUAUGUUAAGUGUUUUGCGACUUGUGAAGUAUGUGACCCAGUGUACUUGUAUGUCGAUCGCUCUGCAGGUUGUAAUUUUGUUACAUUACUGUAGUUUGGUUAGCAAUUGUAGCUCUAGCCUAGAUAAAUAAAAAUGCCUACUUGUAUGUUGAGUGCUCUAGCCCAG